UGGGGAAUAUUGCGCAAUGGGGGAAACCCUGACGCAGCAACGCCGCGUGGGUGAUGAAGGUCCUCGGAUUGUAAAGCCCUGUUUUCUGGGACGAUAAUGACGGUACCAGAGGAGGAAGCCACGGCUAACUACGUGCCAGCAGCCGCGGUAAUACGUAGGUGGCGAGCGUUGUCCGGAUUUACUGGGCGUAAAGGGUGCGUAGGCGGAUGUUUAAGUGGGAUGUGAAAUACCCGGGCUCAACUUGGGUGCUGCAUUCCAAACUGGAAGUCUAGAGUGUGGGAGAGGAAAGUGGAAUUCCUAGUGUAGCGGUGAAAUGCGUAGAGAUUAGGAAGAACACCAGUGGCGAAGGCGACUUUCUGGACCAUAACUGACGCUGAGGCACGAAAGCGUGGGGAGCAAACAGGAUUAGAUACCCUGGUAGUCCACGCCGUAAACGAUGGAUACUAGGUGUGGGGAGGUUUAACUCCUUCCGUGCCGCCGUUAACACAUUAAGUAUCCCGCCUGGGGAGUACGGUCGCAAGAUUAAAACUCAAAGGAAUGGACGG
RNAcentral lists this ribosomal RNA (545 nucleotides) under Clostridium sp. enrichment culture clone M16C4. RNAcentral's name for it is "bacterial SSU rRNA". It matches the Rfam family "Bacterial small subunit ribosomal RNA", at positions 355 to 916 of the family's 1533-position model. Lineage: Bacteria; Bacillati; Bacillota; Clostridia; Eubacteriales; Clostridiaceae. The record is from RNAcentral.